RNAcentral lists this ribosomal RNA (465 nucleotides) under uncultured bacterium. Its description in RNAcentral is "partial 16S ribosomal RNA". It matches the Rfam family "Bacterial small subunit ribosomal RNA", at positions 338 to 795 of the family's 1533-position model. The record is from RNAcentral.
CCUACGGGAGGCAGCAGUGGGGAAUAUUGCGCAAUGGGCGAAAGCCUGACGCAGCGACGCCGCGUGAGGGAUGAAGGUCUUCGGAUCGUAAACCUCUGUCUGUAGGGAAGAACGGUCACUGUGCUAAUCAGCAGUGAAUUGACGGUACCUGCAAAGGAAGCACCGGCUAACUCCGUGCCAGCAGCCGCGGGAAUACGGAGGGUGCGAGCGUUAAUCGGAUUUACUGGGCGUAAAGCGCUCGUAGGCGGUAUGUCAAGUCAAGGGUGAAAGCCCCGGGCUCAACGGGGGAACUGCCUUUGAAACUGGCAGACUGGAGUGUGUGAGAGGUUAGUGGAAUUCCCGGUGUAGCGGUGAAAUCCGUAGAUAUCUGGAGGAACAUCAGUGGCGAAGGCGGCUUGCUGGAACGUAACUGACGCUGAGGAGCGAAAGCGUGGGUAGCAAACAGGAUUAGAUACCCUAGUAGUC